UACGUAGGGUGCAAGCGUUGUCCGGAAUUAUUGGGCGUAAAGAGCUCGUAGGCGGUCUGUCGCGUCUGCUGUGAAAACUCAGGGCUUAACCCUGAGCUUGCAGUGGGUACGGGCAGACUAGAGUGCGGUAGGGGAGACUGGAAUUCCUGGUGUAGCGGUGAAAUGCGCAGAUAUCAGGAGGAACACCGGUGGCGAAGGCGGGUCUCUGGGCCGUAACGGACGCUGAGGCGCGAAAGCCAGGGGAGCGAACGGG
This 253-nucleotide ribosomal RNA is filed under the name uncultured bacterium. Its description in RNAcentral is "partial 16S ribosomal RNA". It matches the Rfam family "Bacterial small subunit ribosomal RNA", at positions 524 to 776 of the family's 1533-position model. The record is from RNAcentral.